RNAcentral lists this long non-coding RNA (2684 nucleotides) under Homo sapiens (human). Its description in RNAcentral is "HSALNT0166485". The record is from RNAcentral. Lineage: Eukaryota; Metazoa; Chordata; Mammalia; Primates; Hominidae.
CAGUCAUCUUGCAUAGGAUGUCGGCAAUCUCAGAAACCUCUGGGAGUCUGCUUUUCAUGUAGCAAACAACCUAGUAAGAAAAACUAGCUUUGGAGCCAGCCCCGGCUGGAAAAAAUGAAGCUAAAUGAAACUCUCUCCACAAUAUUGGGCUAAAACCUUUUGAUGUUUCUUGCUGAGCCUACCUGGCUAAUGCCAUCAGUGAAAGACAAAUCAGAACAGAUGAAGAAUGUGACUUUCAGGGGAUGAAUGGAAGCGCCUCCUCUGGCUCAUGCUGGUGGGAGAAAAUGAACCAGCCCUGCUUUCUCUCCCUGGUUCAAUUCCCAGCAAAGGAAAAACAAUGUAAUUCAUGAUGAUGAUGACAAUGACAAUGACGACAACAACAAUAACCAACCUUUAACACAUCCUUAUAAUGUGCCAGACCCUGCGGAUCACUGUGAAAAGAACAUGAGAUGCCCUUUGCAGGGACAUGGAUGGAGCUGGAAGCCAUUAUCUUCAGCAAACUAACACAGGAACAGAAAACCAAAUACUGCAUGUUCUCACUUAUAAGUGGGAGCUGAACCAUGAGAACAUGGACACAGGGAGGGGAACAACGCACACUGGGGCCUGUGGAGGGCAGGCGGGGGGAGGGAGAGCAUCAGGAUAAAUAGCUAAUGCAUGCUGGGCUUAAUACCUAGGUGAUGGAUUGAUAGGUGCAGCAAACCACCAUGGCACACAUUUACCUAUGGAGCAAACCUGCACCUCCUGCACAUUUACCCCAGAACUUAAAAUAAAAUAAAAUUUAAAAAGGACACGAGAUAAUGUAAGAAAGUAGUUAGCCCAUAGAAAGCUGUUACUAUUCCAGUAUGUAUCCUACUACCCACGGUGCCGCUUAUAUAAGAGCGCCCUCCUGAGGCUGUCAGAAUAACUGGGGCGAGGCAGGGAAUGAGAGGGGACACCAGGCCUGAGGAGUGAGGAGAACAGACUAGAAUGGCUUCCUGACCGAAACUACACCCGCUCAACCCCAGGCCUGUGUAAUAGGCACUUCCACUUUAGUGUGAGGGUAAAUCCCAGAACACUGAAGAAACACAGCCCAGAGCUGGCAUCCUUUUGGCCAUUUCCUGAAGUGGAGCUGGAUUUCAGAGGGCUGUCUCAAAUGACAGUGUCAGCACUAGGAGCUGAUGGUUAAAGCUCUGCAAGAAAACAGCAUCCAGCAUUUUCUUUUGCUACUCUCAUGGGCCAACAUGAAAGUGCGUAAUGAUGGACACAGGCUUUGCUUAAGUGGAGCAAAGGGCUUCAGUGAAAUUCAAUAUUGUCAACGUGCUCUGGGAUGUGAAUUCCAUCCCUCCAGUCUGGGUGACACCUUCAUCUUCUCAACCAGCACUGAUAUUCCUGCCCAGGAACUUAAGAACUGCCCCUUGCUGUGGUCUGGGUCUCAAGGCUCUUUUCCUGGGAGCUUAAGACUUUUGACUUUUCCCUUGAAGGUGUCCACAUGCCUCCAUGCCUGGCUUACCUGCAGCCUGUCUAACCCCCAAGAGAUGCAUCUGAGACAGCGUCAUAACCUCUGCUUCCAAACCACCAUCGCUAAAGGCACAGUCCUGAGGGAAAUGAAUCAUCGCCUUGGAAAUUUGCAACCUAUGGGCUGAAUUCAGCUCACAGAAGUGUUUUUUCCACAGGGUGUUUUGCUUUGAUUUUUAAACUUGAAUUAGAUGCCUAUAUAAAAAAUCAGGAUAUUGAAUCUAAAAAUCCAAAUUUCUAAAUCUAAAAAUCCAAAUUUCUAACUUCUCCUGAAAAGUAGAUUGCUCCAGCAGUUCUGGCCUGUGUUUCUAUUGUAUGCUCCUACACUGUUCAACAAAAGUUCUGACAAUAAAAUUUGUUAUUUAAAAAGUUCUAUUUAUGAAUACAAGUAUUUGAGUGCUGUUACUUUUAUACAGCCUAAGUGAGGAGGAGUACAAAUUCCAUCUUCUAAUCACCACUGUUCCGUGAAUCUAUUCAGUCUUUUAUAUUUUCUGUGGGUGUUUAAGUAUUUCUAUUUCCUACCACCAAUUGUCACUUUCAGUACUAGGACAACUAGCCAAAGAGAUUUUAGUUUCGGAUAAUUUGUUAAUCAAGGCAUCAUUUAGAAAAAUUACUUACUGUUUAUUUCGAAUUGCCUGACUACAUAAUAAUCAUGACAUGUAUCCUUAAACACAUGACCUACUUCACUGUACAUUUUACUUGAUCAUCCCAGCACACUGUCUGCAUGGUCAACUUGGUGUUCAUAAACUGUGAAAUCAUGUGAUAUGGUCAACUCCUACUUGGAGCUUGCUUAUACCUUAUAUAGAGAGAGGGGCUGUGGGGCAUCACUGGUGAGUGUGGGAGGCCUGAAAGGAAGUCCUAUAUCUCCCUCUCCUUUGGACGCAAAGGCAGCACAAUUUGGAGCCCAGAGUUAAACUGUGGUUUCAGCAUUGUGAACACAAGUGUAAAGUCCUGUCUCUGAAGCCUUUUCCUGCUCUCUCUUAGGAUUAGGGGCUCCUCCCUAGUGUCCCCAUAGCUUUCUGAGCCUGUUCCUAUUACUGCCCACCCCAUUGUAUUGUAAUUACUUGUUUCUGUGUCUGUGUCCUACCUAGAGGUGAGUCUUGAAGAUGGGAAUGAUGUCUUUCCCAUGAUUAUAGCCCCAGGCCCAGCGAGGCCUUGAGGAAUGAUCUAGAGACACAGCACUCUUCAAC